CACAAUGAAAACACCUUGAGAAGUAAUAUAAUAUCAACCUUUGAUGACUUUAUUACAGUUCAUUCUAUAGCCAUAUAUAAGAGAGAGCUGUGUCAGAAGUGGGUUCUGAUACCUACAUAAUAAGAGCAGGACUCAUUGGAAACCAGCAUGCCAUCCUGAUGCCACCAGUAUUGCAAUAUAAUUAUCAUUUCCGAGAGGGUAUCUGUUCUAAAUAUGUGAUUUUUUUCUCUUUGUUAAGGAUAGGGGCAAGAAUCCAGUUGAACCAUCUCGAGAGUAUUUUCAUAUUUGAGUUUCUCUUCCCCCGCCCCUCUCUUCCUGUGCAAAUUAAAAUGCUAGUCUCAUUUA
This is a long non-coding RNA of Leopardus geoffroyi (Geoffroy's cat), 345 nucleotides long. RefSeq lists it as uncharacterized. The record is from RefSeq and is a predicted model, not a curated record. Lineage: Eukaryota; Metazoa; Chordata; Mammalia; Carnivora; Felidae. The transcript is spliced from 2 exons.